GAUAUUGGUCAAUAGCCUAACGGCUGAACCAGCAACUGGAGGAAUGAAAAGCAAUAGCUGAUUGCAAAAUGUAGUUACUACUUGGUAGUUUAAAUUUCUAGGUAGAAUUAUGAUGAUGACAUUAUCUAUCUAUUAGUCUUGACCAAAUUACGUGCCAGCAGUCGCGGUAAUACGUAGAAGACAAGUGUUAUUCAUCUUUAUUAGGUUUAAAGAGUACCAAGACGGUUAUUAAAGCCCAAAAGAAAUGAAUACGGGGGACACAUUAACUAGAGUUAUAUGAAAGGAAGCUAUAAGGUACUGUUGAGUGUAGAGAUGAAAUUUAAUCAUACCAGAUGAUUGGCACAGAUUUAUGCGAAGGCAUCUUCUUAUGUAAUAACUGACGUUGUAGGACGAAGGCUUAGGAAGUGAACAGGAUUAGGUACCCCAGUAAUCUCGGCAGAAAAUGAUGAAUGUCAUAGGUAUUAUUGUGUCUAUAAAUGAAAGUGUAAGCAUUCCACCUCAAGAGUAAUUUGGCAACAUUGGAACUGAAAUCAUUAGACCGUUUCUGAAACCAGUAGUGAAGUAUGUUGUUUAAUUAGAUGAUACACAAAAACCUUACCACAAUUUGAAUAUAUAUAAAAUAUAUUUACAAGCGCUGCACGGCUGUCUACAGUUAAUGUCGUGAGACUUUGGUUAGCUCCAUUAAAUUGACGAAAACCCAAAUUUUAUUUAUAAAUAUAAUUAACAUUGCUAUAUUUGAUGUUUUAAGAGGGAACAUGACAAGUCAUCAUGG
Molecule: ribosomal RNA, 772 nt
Filed under: Sticta aff. guilartensis
Lineage: Eukaryota; Fungi; Ascomycota; Lecanoromycetes; Peltigerales; Lobariaceae
Description: SSU rRNA
Rfam family: Bacterial small subunit ribosomal RNA
Source: RNAcentral